This is a long non-coding RNA of Thalassophryne amazonica, 130 nucleotides long. RefSeq lists it as uncharacterized. NCBI's taxonomy places the organism in Eukaryota, Metazoa, Chordata, Actinopteri, Batrachoidiformes, Batrachoididae. The transcript is spliced from 3 exons. The record is from RefSeq and is a predicted model, not a curated record.
CCUCGGCGGGUGUCAACGCCAUCUUCUCUGAAACUGCUGGACCAAUGAAGCUGAAACUUGGUGUGCAUGUUCCUACCCAUGAGGACACCAAAGUUUCUUUGAACUGAUCCGAUUUCAAAUAUGGCCACCG